Unclassified non-coding RNA from Callithrix jacchus (white-tufted-ear marmoset), 148 nucleotides. It matches the Rfam family "Metazoan signal recognition particle RNA". Rfam says of the family: The signal recognition particle (SRP) is a universally conserved ribonucleoprotein. It is involved in the co-translational targeting of proteins to membranes. The record is from Ensembl. Lineage: Eukaryota; Metazoa; Chordata; Mammalia; Primates; Cebidae.
GCCAGGUAUGGUGGCGUGCGCCUGUAAUCCCAGCUACUUGGGAGGCUGAGGCAGGAGAUUUGCUUGAACCCAGGAGCUGGAGGUUGCAGUGAGCAGAGAUUAUGCCACUGCACUCCAGCCUGGGUGACAGAGCAAGACUCCAUCUCAA